RNAcentral lists this non-coding RNA (102 nucleotides) under Domibacillus antri. RNAcentral's name for it is "Guanine sequence". It matches the Rfam family "Purine riboswitch aptamer". Rfam says of the family: Riboswitches are metabolite binding domains within certain messenger RNAs that serve as precision sensors for their corresponding targets. Allosteric rearrangement of mRNA structure is mediated by ligand binding, and this results in modulation of gene expression. A class of riboswitches that selectively recognises guanine and becomes saturated at concentrations as low as 5 nM. The record is from RNAcentral. Lineage: Bacteria; Bacillati; Bacillota; Bacilli; Caryophanales; Bacillaceae.
ACAUUAUUUUUCACAUUGCAUCGUAUAUCGUCGAGAAUAUGGCUUGACAGUUUCUACCGGGCUGCCGUAAAUGGCCCGACUACGAAUGGAUGGAAAGAGAAU